GUGAAAAUUCAGCAGAAGCAGAAGACAGUGCUAAUUCUCCUCAAAGACAUCAGGGCAAAUCAGUUGAUGAAGUUGAAAAUUCAACUGAAGAGUCGCAGAAAGGGAUUGGAGGCGAUACUAUUCCUCCUGAAAGACAACAGAGCAAAUUAGCCGAUCAAGGUGCAGACUCAUCAGAAGAGCCACGAACAGCAAAAGAACCUGAUAAACAUCAGG
This is a long non-coding RNA of Mercenaria mercenaria, 213 nucleotides long. RefSeq lists it as uncharacterized. Lineage: Eukaryota; Metazoa; Mollusca; Bivalvia; Venerida; Veneridae. The record is from RefSeq and is a predicted model, not a curated record. The transcript is spliced from 3 exons.